UCCGCGGUAGCUCAGUCGGUAGAGCGUCCGACUGUUAAUCGGAUGGUCGCAGGUUCGAGUCCUGCCCGCGGAG
RNAcentral lists this transfer RNA (73 nucleotides) under Allomeiothermus silvanus DSM 9946. RNAcentral describes it as "Meiothermus silvanus DSM 9946 tRNA". It matches the Rfam family "tRNA". Rfam says of the family: Transfer RNA (tRNA) molecules are approximately 80 nucleotides in length. Their secondary structure includes four short double-helical elements and three loops (D, anti-codon, and T loops). The record is from Rfam by way of RNAcentral. Lineage: Bacteria; Thermotogati; Deinococcota; Deinococci; Thermales; Thermaceae.